CCUACGGGUGGCAGCAGUGGGGGAUAUUGCACAAUGGGGGAAACCCUGAUGCAGCGACGCCGCGUGUGGGAAGACGGUCUUCUGGAUUGUAAUCCACUGUCCCCAGGGACGAAAAUGACGGUACCUGGGGAGGAAGCUCCGGCUAACUACGUGCCAGCAGCCGCGGUAAUACGUAGGGAGCAAGCGUUGUCCGGAAUUACUGGGUGUAAAGGGAGCGUAGGCGGGGAUGCAAGUUGGGUGUCAAAACUACCGGCUCAACCGAUAGUCGCACUCAAAACUGCAACUCUUGAGUGAAGUAGAGGCAGGCGGAAUUCCGAGUGUAGCGGUGAAAUGCGUAGAUAUUAGGAGGAACACCAGUGGCGAAGGCGGCCUGCUGGGCUUUUACUGACGCUGAGGCUCGAAAGUGUGGUGAGCAAACAGGAUUAGAUACCCGGGUAGUC
Molecule: ribosomal RNA, 440 nt
Filed under: uncultured bacterium
Lineage: Bacteria
Description: partial 16S ribosomal RNA
Rfam family: Bacterial small subunit ribosomal RNA
Source: RNAcentral